GGGGAUGUAGCUCUAUGGUAGAGCACUUGCCUAGCAAAUAUGAGAGGCCUGGGUUCAAUCUCAGUAUGGCCA
Molecule: transfer RNA, 72 nt
Filed under: Heterocephalus glaber (naked mole-rat)
Lineage: Eukaryota; Metazoa; Chordata; Mammalia; Rodentia; Bathyergidae
Rfam family: tRNA
About the family: Transfer RNA (tRNA) molecules are approximately 80 nucleotides in length. Their secondary structure includes four short double-helical elements and three loops (D, anti-codon, and T loops). Further hydrogen bonds mediate the characteristic L-shaped molecular structure. tRNAs have two regions of fundamental functional importance: the anti-codon, which is responsible for specific mRNA codon recognition, and the 3' end, to which the tRNAs corresponding amino acid is attached (by aminoacyl-tRNA synthetases). tRNAs cope with the degeneracy of the genetic code in two manners: having more than one tRNA (with a specific anti-codon) for a particular amino acid; and 'wobble' base-pairing, i.e. permitting non-standard base-pairing at the 3rd anti-codon position.
Source: Rfam by way of RNAcentral